GACGAACGCUGGCGGCGCGCCUAACACAUGCAAGUCGAACGGAGCUGAGAGAAGCUUGCUUUUCUUAGCUUAGUGGCGAACAGGUGAGUAAAGCGUGAGUAAACUGCCCUGGAGUGGGGGACAACAUUUGGAAACGACUGCUAAUACCGCAUAAGCCCGCGAUCCGGCAUCGGAUUGAGGGACAAGGAUUUAUUCGCUUCAGGAUGGACUCGCGUCCAAUUAGCUAGUUGGUGAGGUAACGGCCCACCAAGGCGACGAAUGGUAGCCGGACUGAGAGGUUGAACGGCCACAUUGGGACUGAGACACGGCCCAGACUCCUACGGGAGGCAGCAGUGGGGGAUAUGGCACAAUGGGUGAAACCCUGAUGCAGCGACGCCGCGUGGAGGAAGAAGGUUUUCGGAUUGUAAACUCCUGUCGGUAGGGACGAUAAUGACUGUACCUAACAAGAAAGCACCGGCUAACUACGU
Molecule: ribosomal RNA, 467 nt
Filed under: uncultured bacterium
Lineage: Bacteria
Description: partial 16S ribosomal RNA
Rfam family: Bacterial small subunit ribosomal RNA
Source: RNAcentral